GCCGGAGUGGCGGAAUUGGUAGACGCGCCGGAUUCAAAAUCCGGUGGGCUUACGCCUGUGGGGGUUCGAGUCCCCCCUCCGGUA
RNAcentral lists this transfer RNA (84 nucleotides) under Deltaproteobacteria bacterium. Its description in RNAcentral is "tRNA-Leu". It matches the Rfam family "tRNA". From Rfam's summary of the family: Transfer RNA (tRNA) molecules are approximately 80 nucleotides in length. Their secondary structure includes four short double-helical elements and three loops (D, anti-codon, and T loops). The record is from RNAcentral. Lineage: Bacteria; Pseudomonadati; Myxococcota; Myxococcia.